CCCGGACACGCUCGGAAAACCGCUGUCGAACAGUAGUUAAAGUACACUACUACUGCGAUCGCUAUCGUGUGCUCGGAUUUUUAACGGCGGCCGUGGCGGUACACCGUGUCAACCGGUACGGUUUCGGCGCGCAUCAUAAAUAUAUGGACUUUUGUUGUCAAUAUACUUGUCAAUUUAAAACAUGAAAUCAAUUUCAAAUGUUGUUCAAUCCAACCACUUAAACAUUGACUGCCUCCUUAAAAAAUCCAACAAAUAUCAAACCGUGUAUCUCUCAAACAUUGAAUGCAAUAUUAAUCACAUCUUUCCCAUUGAAAAAGAAGAAGAUUUAUAUACCUACUCGUACAUUUGAAAACAAACUAAAACAAAAAAAUGAUUUCAAAGAAUCAUUGAUGCAGUUAGAAAAAAAAUUCCUGAAAAAGAUAUUGACAACUGCUUUGGUAUAUGGCUAUCUCAUGCGCUAUUUCGCUUUAAAAAAAAAAAAAAUUGCGAACAUAUUUUAUAUUAAAAAAUAAUAAACAAUUGAUGUAUAAUACAAUUUACAGCUUAUUGUUUAAAUAUGCCUUAAUAUUUAAUUUUUAUAAUUCCUUGUUCUUGUGAAAAUAUUUUCUGAAUAUUAGUACAUUAUUAAAUCUAAAACAUUGCAUGUGUGUUUUUAUGGAAAUGUUAUGGUGCAACAUUUUGUGUAUGUUACUAGAUAACAUUAUGGAAAC
Aphis gossypii (cotton aphid) is the source of this 710-nucleotide long non-coding RNA. RefSeq lists it as uncharacterized. The record is from RefSeq and is a predicted model, not a curated record. Lineage: Eukaryota; Metazoa; Arthropoda; Insecta; Hemiptera; Aphididae. The transcript has 3 exons.